This 569-nucleotide ribosomal RNA is filed under the name uncultured Gammaproteobacteria bacterium. RNAcentral's name for it is "bacterial SSU rRNA". It matches the Rfam family "Bacterial small subunit ribosomal RNA", at positions 812 to 1381 of the family's 1533-position model. Lineage: Bacteria; Pseudomonadati; Pseudomonadota; Gammaproteobacteria. The record is from RNAcentral.
UCGAUUUGGAGUUUGUUGCCUUGAGUGAUGGGCUCCGAAGCUAACGCGAUAAAUCGACCGCCUGGGGAGUACGGCCGCAAGGCUAAAACUCAAAUGAAUUGACGGGGGCCCGCACAAGCGGUGGAGCAUGUGGUUUAAUUCGAUGCAACGCGAAGAACCUUACCUGGUCUUGACAUCCACAGAAUCUUGCAGAGAUGCGAGAGUGCCUUCGGGAACUGUGAGACAGGUGCUGCAUGGCUGUCGUCAGCUCGUGUUGUGAAAUGUUGGGUUAAGUCCCGCAACGAGCGCAACCCUUAUCCUUUGUUGCCAGCGAUUCGGUCGGGAACUCAAAGGAGACUGCCGUUGAUAAAGCGGAGGAAGGUGGGGACGACGUCAAGUCAUCAUGGCCCUUACGACCAGGGCUACACACGUGCUACAAUGGCGUAUACAAAGGGAGGCGACCUCGCGAGAGCAAGCGGACCUCACAAAGUACGUCUAAGUCCGGAUUGGAGUCUGCAACUCGACUCCAUGAAGUCGGAAUCGCUAGUAAUCGUGAAUCAGAAUGUCACGGUGAAUACGUUCCCGGGCCU